CUGCGAAUGGCUCAUUAAAUCAGUUAUCGUUUAUUUGAUAGUACCUUACCACUUGGAUAACCGUGGUAAUUCUAGAGCUAAUACAUGCUAAAAACCCCGACUUCGGAAGGGGUGUGUUUAUUAGAUAAAAAACCAAUGCCCUUCGGGGCUCUUUGGUGAUUCAUGAUAACCUAACGGAUCGCAUGGCCUUGCGCCGGCGACGGUUCAUUCAAAUUUCUGCCCUAUCAACUUUCGAUGGUAAGGUAUUGGCUUACCAUGGUUUCAACGGGUAACGGGGAAUUAGGGUUCGAUUCCGGAGAGGGAGCCUGAGAAACGGCUACCACAUCCAAGGAAGGCAGCAGGCGCGCAAAUUACCCAAUCCCGACACGGGGAGGUAGUGACAAUAAAUACUGAUAUAGGGCUCUUUUGGGUCUUGUAAUUGGAAUGAGUACAAUUUAAACCCCUUAACGAGGAACAAUUGGAGGGCAAGUCUGGUGCCAGCAGCCGCGGUAAUUCCAGCUCCAAUAGCGUAUAUUAAAGUUGUUGCAGUUAAAAAGCUCGUAGUUGAAACUUGGGUCUGGCUAGCGGGUCCGCCUCACCGCGUGCACUUGUCCGGCUGGACCUUUCCUUCUGGAGAACCUCAUGCCCUUCACUGGGUGUGUUGGGGAACCAGGACUUUUACUUUGAAAAAAUUAGAGUGUUCAAAGCAGGCCUUUGCUCGAAUACGUUAGCAUGGAAUAAUAGAAUAGGACGUGCGGUCCUAUUUUGUUGGUUUCUAGGAUCGCCGUAAUGAUUAAUAGGGAUAGUCGGGGGCAUCAGUAUUCAAUUGUCAGAGGUGAAAUUCUUGGAUUUAUUGAAGACUAACUACUGCGAAAGCAUUUGCCAAGGAUGUUUUCAUUAAUCAGUGAACGAAAGUUAGGGGAUCGAAGACGAUCAGAUACCGUCGUAGUCUUAACCGUAAACUAUGCCGACUAGGGAUCGGGCGAUGUUUCUAUCUUGACUCGCUCGGCACCUUACGAGAAAUCAAAG
RNAcentral lists this ribosomal RNA (1008 nucleotides) under Camposporium pellucidum. RNAcentral describes it as "SSU rRNA". It matches the Rfam family "Eukaryotic small subunit ribosomal RNA", at positions 87 to 1103 of the family's 1831-position model. Lineage: Eukaryota; Fungi; Ascomycota; Dothideomycetes; Pleosporales; Melanommataceae. The record is from RNAcentral.